This is a long non-coding RNA of Telopea speciosissima, 516 nucleotides long. RefSeq lists it as uncharacterized. The transcript is spliced from 3 exons. The record is from RefSeq and is a predicted model, not a curated record. Lineage: Eukaryota; Viridiplantae; Streptophyta; Magnoliopsida; Proteales; Proteaceae.
AUUUCAAUACUUCACAUACCUCUAGUUAUAAUCAACCUUUCUGUGAUUAGAUAGUCUUCUUCAUCCACCAUUAGACCCAACAACAUUUAUACAGCAAACCCCCCCCCCCUGAUAUUUUGCUUUCCUCUUAUAUUCAGUUAGUAUACGCUUGGAUACUUUCCCUAAUUUCAAUUUCCUGAACGCUUUUACUGCUGUCAUCCAUAAAAAGAACAAGACAAGUACAUGCUUUAACUUAGAAUUAAACCCAAGAGAACUCUAGAAUGAUUAUUUGCUAUAAUUAUCAGUAUUAUAAAUUAGUGGGUGAUUCAGGGCAUUCUGGACUAAACAAACAAAAGAUGACGGCCAGUCCCCACUAAAACAGUAUUUAAGGAGCCUCAAAGAACUUCAGGUUCCAACCAACCUAAGACUAUUUUCCAUGAUUGUCAAACACUAUAGAAAACCAAGGAAUUCAUGUCACACAGAAAAGAAUCUACCCCAAGAUCUUGAAGUGUUUCUGUAAACUUUGAUCACUUCAAU